This 265-nucleotide ribosomal RNA is filed under the name uncultured archaeon. Its description in RNAcentral is "partial 16S ribosomal RNA". It matches the Rfam family "Archaeal small subunit ribosomal RNA", at positions 717 to 982 of the family's 1478-position model. The record is from RNAcentral.
ACACGACUACAUUAGAUACCCCGGUAGUCCUAGUCGUAAACGAUACUCGCUAGGUGUCGGCCACGGUGCGACCGUUGUCGGUGCCGUAGGGAAGCCGUGAAGCGAGCCACCUGGGAAGUACGGCCGCAAGGCUGAAACUUAAAGGAAUUGGCGGGGGAGCACAACAACGGGUGGAGCUUGCGGUUUAAUUGGAUUCAACGCCGGAAAUCUUACCGGGACCGACAGCAACAUGAAGGCCAAGCUGAAGACUUUGCCGGAUUAGCUG